GCGGCAGCGCGGGAGCAAUCCUGGCGGCGAGCGGCGGACGGGUGAGUAACGCUUGGGAAUCUGCCUGUUAGUGGGGGACAACCCGGGGAAACUCGGGCUAAUACCGCAUACGCACUACGGUGGAAAGCCGGGGACCGCAAGGCCUGGCGCUAACAGAUGAGCCCAAGUCGGAUUAGCUAGUUGGUAGGGUAACGGCCUACCAAGGCGACGAUCCGUAACUGGUCUGAGAGGACGACCAGUCACACCGGAACUGAGACACGGUCCGGACUCCUACGGGAGGCAGCAGUGGGGAAUAUUGGACAAUGGGGGAAACCCUGAUCCAGCGACGCCGCGUGGGUGAAGAAGGCCUGCGGGUUGUAAAGCCCUUUCAGUGGGGAAGAAAAGCCUCGAGUUAACACCUCGGGGUCUUGACGUAACCCAUAGAAGAAGCACCGGCUAACUCUGUGCCAGCAGCCGCGGUAAUACAGAGGGUGCGAGCGUUAAUCGGAAUUACUGGGCGUAAAGCGCGCGUAGGCGGCUUUGCAAGUCGGGUGUGAAAUCCCCAGGCUUAACCUGGGAACUGCAUUCGAGACUGCAUUGCUAGAGUAUGGGAGAGGGAAGUGGAAUUUCAGGUGUAGCGGUGAAAUGCGUAGAUAUCUGAAGGAACAUCAGUGGCGAAAGCGACUUCCUGGACCAAUACUGACGCUCAUGUGCGAAAGCGUGGGGAGCAAACAGGAUUAGAUACCCUGGUAGUCCACGCCAUAAACGAUGAGAACUGGAUGUCGGGAGGGUCUGCCUCUCGGUGUCGUAGCUAACNCGUUAAGUUCUC
This 808-nucleotide ribosomal RNA is filed under the name uncultured Gammaproteobacteria bacterium. RNAcentral's name for it is "bacterial SSU rRNA". It matches the Rfam family "Bacterial small subunit ribosomal RNA", at positions 66 to 869 of the family's 1533-position model. Lineage: Bacteria; Pseudomonadati; Pseudomonadota; Gammaproteobacteria. The record is from RNAcentral.